This 1392-nucleotide ribosomal RNA is filed under the name uncultured bacterium. Its description in RNAcentral is "16S ribosomal RNA". It matches the Rfam family "Bacterial small subunit ribosomal RNA". The record is from RNAcentral.
AGAGUUUGAUCCUGGCUCAGGAUGAACGCUAGCUACAGGCCUAACACAUGCAAGUCGAGGGGCAGCAUGGGGUCCGCUUGCGGAUCCCGAUGGCGACCGGCGAAUGGGUGAGUCACGCGUGUCCAACCUGCCCCGCGCCCGGGGAUAGCCCUUGGAAAUGAGGAUUAAGACCCGAUAUGCGCACGCCCCGCAUGGCGCGUGCGUGAAUGGAGGCGCGGGAUGGGGACGCGUCGGAUUAGCUUGACGGCGGGGCGACGGCCCACCGUGGCGACGAUCCGCAGGGGUUCUGAGAGGAAGGUCCCCCACACUGGCACUGAGACACGGGCCAGACUCCUACGGGAGGCAGCAGUGAGGAAUAUUGGUCAAUGGCCGAGAGGCUGAACCAGCCAAGUAGCGUGCAGGAUGACGGCCCUACGGGUUGUAAACUGCUUUUGCGGGAGGAUAACCGGCGCCACGGGUGGCGCCCUGCAGGUAUCCCGUGAAUAAGGACCGGCUAAUUCCGUGCCAGCAGCCGCGGUAAUACGGAAGGUCCGGGCGUUAUCCGGAUUUAUUGGGUCUAAAGGGAGCGCAGGCGGGCUGUCAAGCGUGCCGUGAAAUUUCGGGGCUCAACCCCGUUAAGCGGCGCGAACUGGCGGCCUUGGUUGCGGGAGAGGGAGGCGGAACUCGUGGUGUAGCGGUGAAAUGCAUAGAUAUCACGAAGAACCCCGAUUGCGAAGGCAGCCUCCCGGCCCGUUAACGACGCUCAUGCUCGAAGGCGCGGGUAUCAAACAGGAUUAGAUACCCUGGUAGUCCGCGCGGUAAACGAUGGACACUCGGGAUUUGCCCCUUUUUGGGUGAGUCCCCCAGCGAAAGCGUUAAGUGUCCCACCUGGGGAGUACGCCGGCAACGGUGAAACUCAAAGGAAUUGACGGGGGCCCGCACAAGCGGAGGAGCAUGUGGUUUAAUUCGAUGAUACGCGAGGAACCUUACCUGGACUCAAAUGCAGUCUGAAUAGCACAGAAAUGAGCUAGGCCUUCGGGACAGACUGCAAGGUGCUGCAUGGUUGUCGUCAGCUCGUGCCGUGAGGUGUCAGGUUAAGUCCUAUAACGAGCGCAACCCCUACGUCCAGUUGCCAUCGGUUCGGCCGGGCACUCUGGACGGACUGCCCGCGCAAGCGGAGAGGAAGGCGGGGAUGACGUCAAAUCAGCACGGCCCUUACGUCCGGGGCGACACACGUGCUACAAUGGCCGGCACAGAGGGAAGCCACCCCGCGAGGGGGAGCGGAUCCCGAAAGUCGGUCACAGUCCGGAUCGGGGGCUGCAACCCGCCCCCGUGAAGCUGGAAUCGCUAGUAAUCGCGCAUCAGCCAUGGCGCGGUGAAUACGUUCCCGGGCCUUGCACUCACCGCCCGUCA